This 641-nucleotide ribosomal RNA is filed under the name Arthrobacter globiformis. RNAcentral describes it as "bacterial SSU rRNA". It matches the Rfam family "Bacterial small subunit ribosomal RNA", at positions 61 to 717 of the family's 1533-position model. Lineage: Bacteria; Bacillati; Actinomycetota; Actinomycetes; Micrococcales; Micrococcaceae. The record is from RNAcentral.
GUCGAACGAUGAUGCCCACUUGUGGGUGGAUUAGUGGCGAACGGGUGAGUAACACGUGAGUAACCUGCCCUUGACUCUGGGAUAAGCCUGGGAAACUGGGUCUAAUACCGGAUAUGACUGACCGUCGCAUGGUGGUUGGUGGAAAGCUUUUGUGGUUUUGGAUGGACUCGCGGCCUAUCAGCUUGUUGGUGGGGUAAUGGCCUACCAAGGCGACGACGGGUAGCCGGCCUGAGAGGGUGACCGGCCACACUGGGACUGAGACACGGCCCAGACUCCUACGGGAGGCAGCAGUGGGGAAUAUUGCACAAUGGGCGCAAGCCUGAUGCAGCGACGCCGCGUGAGGGAUGACGGCCUUCGGGUUGUAAACCUCUUUCAGUAGGGAAGAAGCGUAAGUGACGGUACCUGCAGAAGAAGCGCCGGCUAACUACGUGCCAGCAGCCGCGGUAAUACGUAGGGCGCAAGCGUUAUCCGGAAUUAUUGGGCGUAAAGAGCUCGUAGGCGGUUUGUCGCGUCUGCCGUGAAAGUCCGGGGCUCAACUCCGGAUCUGCGGUGGGUACGGGCAGACUAGAGUGAUGUAGGGGAGACUGGAAUUCCUGGUGUAGCGGUGAAAUGCGCAGAUAUCACGAGGAACACCGAUGGCG